Molecule: non-coding RNA, 32 nt
Filed under: Homo sapiens (human)
Lineage: Eukaryota; Metazoa; Chordata; Mammalia; Primates; Hominidae
Source: RNAcentral
UCGCAGGAAAACNGGCUUAACACGGCCACUGA